This 410-nucleotide ribosomal RNA is filed under the name Bacteroidota bacterium. RNAcentral's name for it is "Bacteroidetes bacterium partial 16S ribosomal RNA". It matches the Rfam family "Bacterial small subunit ribosomal RNA", at positions 355 to 776 of the family's 1533-position model. Lineage: Bacteria; Pseudomonadati; Bacteroidota. The record is from RNAcentral.
UGGGGAAUAUUUCGCAAUGGGGGAAACCCUGAAGCAGCGACGCCGCGUGCGGGAUGAAGGCCUUCGGGUUGUAAACCGCCUUUGAUUGGGAGCAAGCAUUCGGGUGAGUGUACCUUUCGAAUAAGCGCCGGCUAACUACGUGCCAGCAGCCGCGGUAAUACGUAGGGCGCAAGCGUUAUCCGGAAUUAUUGGGCGUAAAGGGUACGUAGGCGGCCUAGUAAGAUAGAAGUUAAAGAAUAUAGCUCAACUAUAUAAAGCUUUUAAAACUGCUAGGCUUGAGAGAUGGAAGGGAAAGUGGAAUUCCUAGUGUAGCGGUGAAAUGCGCAGAUAUUAGGAAGAAUACCGGUGGCGAAGGCGACUUUCUGGUCAUCAUCUGACGCUGAGGUACGAAAGCGUGGGUAGCAAACAGG